UGCAGUCGAACGCUCCGCAAGGGGAGUGGCGCACGGGUGAGUAACACGUGGGAACCUACCUUCUGGUACGGAACAACCAAGGGAAACUUUGGCUAAUACCGUAUACGACCUCCGGGUGAAAGAUUUAUCGCCGGAAGAGGGGCCCGCGUCCGAUUAGGUAGUUGGUGGGGUAACGGCCUACCAAGCCGACGAUCGGUAGCUGGUCUGAGAGGAUGACCAGCCACACUGGGACUGARACACGGCCCAGACUCCUACGGGAGGCAGCAGUGGGGAAUAUUGGACAAUGGGCGCAAGCCUGAUCCAGCCAUGCCGCGUGAGUGAUGAAGGCCUUCGGGUUGUAAAGCUCUUUCACCCACGACGAUGAUGACGGUAGUGGGAGAAGAAGCCCCGGCUAACUUCGUGCCAGCAGCCGCGGUAAUACGAAGGGGGCAAGCGUUGUUCGGAAUGACUGGGCGUAAAGGGCGCGUAGGCGGUUCGUUGCGUCAGAUGUGAAAGCCCCGGGCUCAACCUGGGAACUGCAUUUGAUACGGGCGAGCUUGAAUCCAAGAGAGGGUGGUGGAAUUCCCAGUGUAGAGGUGAAAUUCGUAGAUAUUGGGAAGAACACCAGUGGCGAAGGCGGCCACCUGGCUUGGUAUUGACGCUGAGGCGCGAAAGCGUGGGGAGCAAACAGGAUUAGAUACCCUGGUAGUCCACGCCGUAGACGAUGUGUGCUAGCCGUCGGGCAGCUUGCUGUUCGGUGGCGCAGCUAACGCGAUAAGCACACCGCCUGGGGAGUACGGUCGCAAGAUUAAAACUCAAAKGAAUUGACGGGGGCCCGCACAAGCGGUGGAGCAUGUGGUUUAAUUCNAAGCAACGCGCANAANCUUACCNACCCUUGACAUGGGAAGUAUGANCCUGGGAGACCGGGUNCUUCAGGUCGGCUGGCUUCCACNCAGNUGCUGCAUGGNUGUCGUCAGCUCGUGNCNNGAGNNGUUNGGUUAANCNCNC
This 987-nucleotide ribosomal RNA is filed under the name Rhodospirillum sp. kmd_190. RNAcentral describes it as "partial 16S ribosomal RNA". It matches the Rfam family "Bacterial small subunit ribosomal RNA", at positions 56 to 1089 of the family's 1533-position model. Lineage: Bacteria; Pseudomonadati; Pseudomonadota; Alphaproteobacteria; Rhodospirillales; Rhodospirillaceae. The record is from RNAcentral.